This 330-nucleotide ribosomal RNA is filed under the name bacterium ER-Te-61. Its description in RNAcentral is "bacterial SSU rRNA". It matches the Rfam family "Bacterial small subunit ribosomal RNA", at positions 37 to 366 of the family's 1533-position model. The record is from RNAcentral.
UGGCGGCAGGCUACACAUGCAAGUCGAGCGGUAACACAAGGGAGCUUGCUCCUGAGGUGACGAGAGGCGGACGGGUGAGUAAUGCCUAGGGAUCUGCCCAGUCGAGGGGGAUAACAGUUGGAAACGACUGCUAAUACCGCAUACNCCCUACGGGGGAAAGGAGGGGACCUUCGGGCCUUUCGCGAUUGGAUGAACCUAGGUGGGAUUAGCUAUUUGGUGAGGUAAUGGCUCACCAAGGCGACGAUCCCUAGCUGUUCUGAGAGGAUGAUCAGCCACACUGGGACUGAGACACGGCCCAUACUCCUACGGGAGGCUGUAUGGGGAAUAUUG